ACAGUUCAAGGGCUACCCAAAGAAUUCAGCUACGAGAAGAUCCUCAAGGCUUUGAAGAAGGAAUUCUGUUGUAAUGGGAAUGUUGUACAUGACAAAGAGCUUGGCGAGGUAAUCCAGCUCCAAGGAGAUCAACGAAAAAACGUUCAGAGUUUCCUUAUUAACGCUGACCUUGUGAAGAAGGAACAUAUCAAGAUACACGGUUUUUAGAUCUUCUGUGGCUUUAUGAUCUCAGCUGCUAUUGAUGUAUGUUUAUGGUCUAGGGACCCCUAAAAGGUAUUUAUAAUUUGUUACGAUUGAGUUGGCUUGAACUUGCUUUCUCUUUUCAGCUUCUUGUACUUUAAUCUUUAAAUAAUGGGAACUGCAGCGAGAUGUAAUUCUGAACAAGCAGUGAUGGUAAUUGAUGUUGCUGAUUAAAUCAACA
This 421-nucleotide unclassified non-coding RNA is filed under the name Hevea brasiliensis (rubber tree). Lineage: Eukaryota; Viridiplantae; Streptophyta; Magnoliopsida; Malpighiales; Euphorbiaceae. The record is from RNAcentral.